CGCGGUCCGCGCGACUGGCGAUAGGGGCCCUGCCCCCGAGGUGGAAGACCACCGGGAAGCGCGGGCCACGGCCCCUCGCGCCGCGGCAUCCGCCGUUCGCCUGGGCAGCCCUC
RNAcentral lists this non-coding RNA (113 nucleotides) under Rubrivivax sp. A210. Its description in RNAcentral is "ZMP/ZTP riboswitch aptamer (pfl RNA motif)". It matches the Rfam family "ZMP/ZTP riboswitch aptamer (pfl RNA motif)". Rfam says of the family: Previously known as pfl RNA. ZMP is also known as AICAR. Lineage: Bacteria; Pseudomonadati; Pseudomonadota; Betaproteobacteria; Burkholderiales; Sphaerotilaceae. The record is from Rfam by way of RNAcentral.